CAGCCGCCGCGGGAAUACGUAGGGUGCGAGCGUUAAUCGGAAUUACUGGGCGUAAAGCGUGCGCAGGCGGUUGUGUAAGACAGGUGUGAAAUCCCCGGGCUUAACCUGGGAACUGCGCUUGUGACUGCACAGCUAGAGUAUGGCAGAGGGGGGUGGAAUUCCACGUGUAGCAGUGAAAUGCGUAGAGAUGUGGAGGAACACCGAUGGCGAAGGCAGCCCCCUGGGCCAACACUGACGUUCAUGCCCGAAAGCGUGGGGAGCAAACAGGAUUAGAUACCCGGGUAGUCCCUGUCUCUUAUAC
This 301-nucleotide ribosomal RNA is filed under the name uncultured bacterium. Its description in RNAcentral is "partial 16S ribosomal RNA". It matches the Rfam family "Bacterial small subunit ribosomal RNA", at positions 509 to 807 of the family's 1533-position model. The record is from RNAcentral.